UGGGGAAUAUUGGACAAUGGGGGCAACCCUGAUCCAGCCAUGCCGCGUGAGUGAUGAAGGCCUUCGGGUUGUAAAGCUCUUUUGGCGGGGACGAUGAUGACGGUACCCGCAGAAUAAGCCCCGGCUAACUUCGUGCCAGCAGCCGCGGUAAGACGAAGGGGGCUAGCGUUGUUCGGAAUUACUGGGCGUAAAGCGAGUGUAGGCGGUUGCCCAAGUCAGGUGUGAAAGCCUUGAGCUCAACUCAAGAAAU
This 250-nucleotide ribosomal RNA is filed under the name uncultured bacterium. Its description in RNAcentral is "partial 16S ribosomal RNA". It matches the Rfam family "Bacterial small subunit ribosomal RNA", at positions 355 to 622 of the family's 1533-position model. The record is from RNAcentral.